Molecule: long non-coding RNA, 647 nt
Filed under: Urocitellus parryii (Arctic ground squirrel)
Lineage: Eukaryota; Metazoa; Chordata; Mammalia; Rodentia; Sciuridae
Description: lncRNA (ENSUPAG00010016008.1)
Source: RNAcentral
GGGUACGAAAGAGGAACCCGGGGGCGCGGGGUGAGUGAAGGGCUGGGGCGGGAGGGGGCGGCAGGCCGGACAAAGACCUGGAGGAAGGGGUUGUUGCGGGCCGCCUGAGGCCCAGCGGACUCCCCCAGUGUCCGGCCGUCCACCGCCGCCUCGCCCGGGAUCCGGGAGGAAGUGCGGUGGGCGCGCAGCCGGACGCAGGGCCAGAGGGCUGCGAGGAGGCGCCCUGGAGCCGGCAGGGCGCGGGCUCGGAGGAGGCCGGGGCGGCCCUGGGUCCCGGGGCUGCCCAGUAGUGCGGUCAGCGACUCGGGUCUCCAGCUCUGUUGGUCCACUACGCCGAAGCGGCGUUCAGCGUGCAGCUUGGGCCGGGUGUGGACGCGUUUCUUACUGCAYGUCGGCAAAUGCCCCCGCACCUCUUGGCUGAAUUCUGCACUGCAGAGCCCUGCAGAUUUGAAGCCUCAAACUGGAACAUCUCUGCAUUUUUCCUGAGGACCUGCCUGGAAAGGAAGUGGGGACUGCUGCUGUGGAAGUGUCCUUGGUGCCAAGGUGUCCUACAGUGUGCUGCUCCCACCCCGCAGCUGUGUUUAAGUGCAGAGUUUCCUGGAGGCCUUGGACCCUGGGCCUGCAGAGCUCAACGGUCAGGCCCAUGA